Molecule: ribosomal RNA, 254 nt
Filed under: uncultured bacterium
Lineage: Bacteria
Description: partial 16S ribosomal RNA
Rfam family: Bacterial small subunit ribosomal RNA
Source: RNAcentral
UACGUAGGGUGCGAGCGUUGUCCGGAUUUAUUGGGUUUAAAGGGUGCGUAGGCGGCCUAGUAAGUUCGUGUUAAAAGCCAGCCGCUUAACGGUUAGGAUGGGCAUGGAUACUGCUGGGCUUGAGUUACUUGGGGGCUGGCGGAAUUUGUGGUGUAGCGGUGAAAUGCAUAGAUACCACAAGGAACACCGAUCGCGUAGGCAGCCAGCCACGAGUUUACUGACGCUGAGGCACGAAAGCGUGGGGAGCAAACAGG